This 1500-nucleotide ribosomal RNA is filed under the name uncultured bacterium. RNAcentral describes it as "16S ribosomal RNA". It matches the Rfam family "Bacterial small subunit ribosomal RNA". The record is from RNAcentral.
UAGAGUUUGAUCCUGGCUCAGAUUGAACGCUGGCGGCAGGCCUAACACAUGCAAGUCGAACGGUAGCACAGAGAGCUUGCUCUCGGGUGACGAGUGGCGGACGGGUGAGUAAUGUCUGGGAAACUGCCUGAUGGAGGGGGAUAACUACUGGAAACGGUAGCUAAUACCGCAUAACGUCGCAAGACCAAAGAGGGGGACCUUCGGGCCUCUUGCCAUCAGAUGUGCCCAGAUGGGAUUAGCUAGUAGGUGGGGUAACGGCUCACCUAGGCGACGAUCCCUAGCUGGUCUGAGAGGGUGACCAGCCACACUGGAACUGAGACACGGUCCAGACUCCUACGGGAGGCAGCAGUGGGAAUAUUGCACAAUGGGCGCAAGCCUGAUGCAGCCAUGCCGCGUGUAUGAAGAAGGCCUUCGGGUUGUAAAGUACUUUCAGCGGGGAGGAAGGUGUUGCGGUUAAUAACCGCAGCAAUUGACGUUACCCGCAGAAGAAGCACCGGCUAACUCCGUGCCAGCAGCCGCGGUAAUACGGAGGGUGCAAGCGUUAAUCGGAAUUACUGGGCGUAAAGCGCACGCAGGCGGUCUGUCAAGUCGGAUGUGAAAUCCCCGGGCUCAACCUGGGAACUGCAUUCGAAACUGGCAGGCUAGAGUCUUGUAGAGGGGGGUAGAAUUCCAGGUGUAGCGGUGAAAUGCGUAGAGAUCUGGAGGAAUACCGGUGGCGAAGGCGGCCCCCUGGACAAAGACUGACGCUCAGGUGCGAAAGCGUGGGGAGCAAACAGGAUUAGAUACCCUGGUAGUCCACGCCGUAAACGAUGUCGACUUGGAGGUUGUGCCCUUGAGGCGUGGCUUCCGGAGCUAACGCGUUAAGUCGACCGCCUGGGGAGUACGGCCGCAAGGUUAAAACUCAAAUGAAUUGACGGGGGCCCGCACAAGCGGUGGAGCAUGUGGUUUAAUUCGAUGCAACGCGAAGAACCUUACCUACUCUUGACAUCCAGAGAACUUUCCAGAGAUGGAUUGGUGCCUUCGGGAACUCUGAGACAGGUGCUGCAUGGCUGUCGUCAGCUCGUGUUGUGAAAUGUUGGGUUAAGUCCCGCAACGAGCGCAACCCUUAUCCUUUGUUGCCAGCGGUCCGGCCGGGAACUCAAAGGAGACUGCCAGUGAUAAACUGGAGGAAGGUGGGGAUGACGUCAAGUCAUCAUGGCCCUUACGAGUAGGGCUACACACGUGCUACAAUGGCGCAUACAAAGAGAAGCGAACUCGCGAGAGCAAGCGGACCUCAUAAAGUGCGUCGUAGUCCGGAUUGGAGUCUGCAACUCGACUCCAUGAAGUCGGAAUCGCUAGUAAUCGUAGAUCAGAAUGCUACGGUGAAUACGUUCCCGGGCCUUGUACACACCGCCCGUCACACCAUGGGAGUGGGUUGCAAAAGAAGUAGGUAGCUUAACCUUCGGGAGGGCGCUUACCACUUUGUGAUUCAUGACUGGGGUGAAGUCGUACAAGGUAACC